This 240-nucleotide ribosomal RNA is filed under the name uncultured bacterium. Its description in RNAcentral is "partial 16S ribosomal RNA". It matches the Rfam family "Bacterial small subunit ribosomal RNA", at positions 15 to 244 of the family's 1533-position model. The record is from RNAcentral.
GAUCCUGGCUCAGGAUGAACGCUAGCUACAGGCUUAACACACGCAAGUCGAGGGGAAACGACAUCGAAAGCUUGCUUUUGAUGGGCGUCGACCGGCGCACGGGUGAGUAACGCGUAUCCAACCUGCCCAUCACUUGGGAAUAACCUUGCGAAAGUAAGACUAAUGCCCAAUGACAUCCCACGAAGGCAUCCGAAUGGGAUUAAAGAUUUAUCGGUGAUGGAUGGGGAUGCGUCUGAUUAG